AGCGAACGCUGGCGGCAGGCCUAACACAUGCAAGUCGAACGGAUCCUUCGGGAUUAGUGGCGGACGGGUGAGUAACACGUGGGAACGUGCCCUUUGGUUCGGAACAACUCAGGGAAACUUGAGCUAAUACCGGAUGUGCCCUUCGGGGGAAAGAUUUAUCGCCAUUGGAGCGGCCCGCGUCUGAUUAGCUAGUUGGUGAGGUAACGGCCCACCAAGGCGACGAUCAGUAGCUGGUCUGAGAGGAUGAUCAGCCACACUGGGACUGAGACACGGCCCAGACUCCUACGGGAGGCAGCAGUGGGGAAUCUUGCGCAAUGGGCGAAGGCCUGACGCAGCCAUGCCGCGUGAAUGAUGAAGGUCUUAGGAUUGUAAUAUUCUUUCAGCGGGGACGAUAAUGACGGUACCCGCAGAAGAAGCUCCGGCUAACUUCGUG
Molecule: ribosomal RNA, 433 nt
Filed under: uncultured bacterium
Lineage: Bacteria
Description: partial 16S ribosomal RNA
Rfam family: Bacterial small subunit ribosomal RNA
Source: RNAcentral